This 500-nucleotide ribosomal RNA is filed under the name uncultured bacterium. Its description in RNAcentral is "partial 16S ribosomal RNA". It matches the Rfam family "Bacterial small subunit ribosomal RNA", at positions 30 to 523 of the family's 1533-position model. The record is from RNAcentral.
AUUGAACGCUGGCGGAAUGCUUUACACAUGCAAGUCGAACGGCAGCACGGACUUCGGUCUGGUGGCGAGUGGCGAACGGGUGAGUAAUGUAUCGGAACGUGCCCAGUCGUGGGGGAUAACGUAGUGAAAAUUACGCUAAUACCGCAUACGAUCUAUGGAUGAAAGCGGGGGAUCGCAAGACCUCGCGCGAUUGGAGCGGCCGAUAUCAGAUUAGGUAGUUGGUGGGGUAAAGGCCCACCAAGCCAACGAUCUGUAGCUGGUCUGAGAGGACGACCAGCCACACUGGAACUGAGACCCGGUCCAGGCUCCUACGGGAGGCAGCAGUGGGGAAUUUUAGACAAUGGGCGAAAGCCUGAUCCAGCCAUUCCGCGUGCAGGAUGAAGGCCCUCGGGUUGUAAACUGCUUUUGUACAGAACGAAAAGGUUUCUACUAAUACUAGGAGCUCAUGACGGUACUGUAAGAAUAAGCACCGGCUAACUACGUGCCAGCAGCCGCCGUAA